CGGACCGGCGCACGGGUGAGUAACGCGUAUCCAACCUGCCUUACACUCUUGGACAGCCUUCUGAAAGGGAGAUUAAUACAAGAUGUCAUCAUGAGUAAGCAUUUUCACAUGAUUAAAGGUUUACCGGUGUAAGAUGGGGAUGCGUUCCAUUAGAUAGUAGGCGGGGUAACGGCCCACCUAGUCUUCGAUGGAUAGGGGUUCUGAGAGGAAGGUCCCCCACAUUGGAACUGAGACACGGUCCAA
This 243-nucleotide ribosomal RNA is filed under the name uncultured bacterium. RNAcentral describes it as "partial 16S ribosomal RNA". It matches the Rfam family "Bacterial small subunit ribosomal RNA", at positions 91 to 334 of the family's 1533-position model. The record is from RNAcentral.